AGUGAACGCUGGCGGUAGGCCUAACACAUGCAAGUCGAACGGCAGCACAGUAAGAGCUUGCUCUUACGGGUGGCGAGUGGCGGACGGGUGAGGAAUACAUCGGAAUCUACUUUUUCGUGGGGGAUAACGUAGGGAAACUUACGCUAAUACCGCAUACGACCUACGGGUGAAAGCAGGGGAUCUUCGGACCUUGCGCGAUUGAAUGAGCCGAUGUCGGAUUAGCUAGUUGGCGGGGUAAAGGCCCACCAAGGCGACGAUCCGUAGCUGGUCUGAGAGGAUGAUCAGCCACUCUGGAACUGAGACACGGUCCAGACUCCUACGGGAGGCAGCAGUGGGGAAUAUUGGACAAUGGGCGCAAGCCUGAUCCAGCCAUACCGCGUGGGUGAAGAAGGCCUUCGGGUUGUAAAGCCCUUUUAUUGGGAAAGAAAAGCAGCAGGUUAAUACCCCGCUGUUCUGACGGUACCCAAAGAAUAAGCACCGGCUAACUUCGUG
Molecule: ribosomal RNA, 492 nt
Filed under: uncultured bacterium
Lineage: Bacteria
Description: partial 16S ribosomal RNA
Rfam family: Bacterial small subunit ribosomal RNA
Source: RNAcentral